CCUACGGGAGGCAGCAGUGAGGAAUAUUGGUCAAUGGACGAGAGUCUGAACCAGCCAAGUAGCGUGAAGGAUGACUGCCCUAUGGGUUGUAAACUUCUUUUAUAUGGGAAUAAAAUGCUCCACGUGUGGGAUUUUGUAUGUACCAUAUGAAUAAGGAUCGGCUAACUCCGUGCCAGCAGCCGCGGUAAUACGGAGGAUCCGAGCGUUAUCCGGCUUUAUUGGGUUUAAAGGGAGCGUAGGUGGAUUGUUAAGUCAGUUGUGAAAGUUUGCGGCUCAACCGUAAAAUUGCAGUUGAAACUGGCAGUCUUGAGUACAGUAGAGGUGGGCGGAAUUCGUGGUGUAGCGGUGAAAUGCUUAGAUAUCACGAAGAACUCCGAUUGCGAAGGCAGUUCACUGGACUGCAACUGACACUGAGGCUCGAAAGUGUGGGUAUCAAACAGGAUUAGAUACCCGUGUAGUC
This 460-nucleotide ribosomal RNA is filed under the name uncultured bacterium. RNAcentral's name for it is "partial 16S ribosomal RNA". It matches the Rfam family "Bacterial small subunit ribosomal RNA", at positions 338 to 795 of the family's 1533-position model. The record is from RNAcentral.